RNAcentral lists this ribosomal RNA (460 nucleotides) under uncultured Treponema sp. RNAcentral describes it as "bacterial SSU rRNA". It matches the Rfam family "Bacterial small subunit ribosomal RNA", at positions 341 to 792 of the family's 1533-position model. Lineage: Bacteria; Pseudomonadati; Spirochaetota; Spirochaetia; Treponematales; Treponemataceae. The record is from RNAcentral.
ACGGAAGGCAGCAGCUAAGAAUAUUCCGCAAUGCACGAAAGUGUGACGGAGCGACGCCGCGUGGAUGAAGAAGGCCGGAAGGUUGUAAAAUCCUUUUAUAACUGAGGAAUAAGUUGGGAGAGGGAAACUCCUGAUGGUGACUGUAGGUUAUGAAUAAGCAACGGCUAAUUACGUGCCAGCAGCCGCGGUAAUACGUAAGUUGCGAGCGUUGUUCGGAAUUAUUGGGCGUAAAGGGCAUGUAGGCGGUCUUGCAAGCUUGGUGUGAAAGGCAGGGGCUCAACCUCUGGACUGCGUUGAGAACUGCAAGACUGGAGUAACUGAGGGGCAAUCAGAAUUCCUGGUGUAGGGGUGAAAUCUGUAGAUAUCAGGAAGAAUACCAAUGGCGAAGGCAGGUUACCAGCAGAUUACUGACGCUGAGGUGCGAAGGUGCGGGGAGCAAACAGGAUUAGAUACCCUGGUA